GGAGGAAUGCCUUGUGUGUAUCAAACUACACAACGUAACUGGGUGACUAUAAAGAUGCUCUACAGGUAUCUCCGAAGGUGUUAGUUGAGUUAGUAUGGAUCAAGACUGGGAUUUGUCACUUCGUGUGAUGGAGAGGUAUCUCGGGGCCCACUCGGUAAUACAACAUCACACACAAGCCUUGCAAGCAAUGUAACUUAGUGUAAGUUGCGGGAUCUUGUAUUACGGAACGAGUAAAGAGACUUGCCGGUAAACGGGAUUGAAA
This 262-nucleotide long non-coding RNA is filed under the name Hordeum vulgare. RNAcentral's name for it is "long non-coding RNA (HVUL_LNC000545)". Lineage: Eukaryota; Viridiplantae; Streptophyta; Magnoliopsida; Poales; Poaceae. The record is from RNAcentral.